UAAAGAGUUCUAUAACUCCCAAACCCAUGUGAACAUACCUAACGUUGCCUCGGCAGGUCGCGCCUACCUCGUAGCCCCCUACCCUGUAGGGCCUACCCGGGAGACGCGGGUAAGCCUGCCGGCGGCCCACUAAACUCUGUUUGAUAUUGAAUUCUGAACCUAUAACUAAAUAAGUUAAAACUUUCAACAACGGAUCUCUUGGUUCUGGCAUCGAUGAAGAACGCAGCGAAAUGCGAUAAGUAAUGUGAAUUGCAGAAUUCAGUGAAUCAUCGAAUCUUUGAACGCAUAUUGCGCCCAUUAGUAUUCUAGUGGGCAGGACCGUUCGAGCGUCAUUUCGACCCUUAAGCCUUGGUUGCUUAGUGUUGGGAGCCUACGGUAACGUAGCUCCUCAAAGUUAGUGGCGGAGUUGGUUCACACUCUAGACGUAGUAAUUUUUUAUCUCGCCUAUUAGUUGGACCGAUCCCCUGCCGUAAAACCCCCAACUUCUCAAGGUUGACCUCGAAUCGGUUCAGACAAACUCGCUAAAUUGAAGCAUCUUAGUCAGCGAAGGAAAAGAAACCAACAGGGAUUGCCCUAGUAACGGCGAGUGAAGCGGCAACAGCUCAAAUUUGAAAUCUGGCCCUCGGGUCCGAGUUGUAAUUUGUAGAGGAUGCUUUUGGCGCGGUGCC
This 668-nucleotide ribosomal RNA is filed under the name fungal endophyte. Its description in RNAcentral is "eukaryotic LSU rRNA". The stretch from base 179 to 332 matches the Rfam family "5.8S ribosomal RNA". Lineage: Eukaryota; Fungi. The record is from RNAcentral.